GGUCGGGCACUGUGCUACGGGUCGCCGCCCAACCCCGUCAGGACCGGAAGGUAGCAGCGGUAAGCGAACGACUCGGGAGCCGCAGGACGCUUGGUCUCG
Molecule: signal recognition particle RNA, 99 nt
Filed under: Spirochaetaceae bacterium
Lineage: Bacteria; Pseudomonadati; Spirochaetota; Spirochaetia; Spirochaetales; Spirochaetaceae
Description: signal recognition particle sRNA small type
Rfam family: Bacterial small signal recognition particle RNA
About the family: The signal recognition particle (SRP) is a universally conserved ribonucleoprotein involved in the co-translational targeting of proteins to membranes. Archaeal SRP consists of a 7S RNA and homologues of the eukaryotic SRP19 and SRP54 proteins.
Source: RNAcentral